Molecule: unclassified non-coding RNA, 9788 nt
Filed under: Leishmania donovani
Lineage: Eukaryota; Euglenozoa; Kinetoplastea; Trypanosomatida; Trypanosomatidae
Description: gene:LdHU3.31.2730(CDS-product:hypothetical_prote in_conserved)
Source: RNAcentral
CAUUGGAUCACGCCACGCUGACAUUCCUCAAAGAGUGGCACCUGUCAUCUUUUCUGCCUCUACGAAAAAAAAGAAAAGAGAACACACACACACACACCGACCGUCGCUCUCCUCGAUCAGAGCAGAGCCUCCCCCCUCUCUCUUUUCCCCUUCUCGAAUUUGCCGAUAUCCCUCCUCUCCUUUUCUCUCUCUGUGCCCCUCUAUUUUUUUUUCCAUUUUGUCUUAUUAGCCGUUUUGGAAGCCCGCGUCUAUCAGUCAGCGACAGUUGUGCGACGUCUUUGUCUCUCGUUCUUUUCGUCUCUUUUCUCGUUCCCCCCGUGUUGUUGGGCUUUGUGUGCUCUGGCUGCUUUUUUGUUUUUGACUUUCCCUCCCCUUGAUUCUCCUCCUCCCCCUUUUGCGCUCUUCCAUUGGCCGCUCUCUUUUUAUUUGUUGUCCCCCCCCGCAAAUAUCAUCUGUACCUGUUCUCCGAUAUUUUCCUUACGUGCUCGUCUUCCCCCCGCCUCCUCCUUCCCUGACGGACACUUUGCGUCUGCGUGCGCGUGCGGCUCUGAUUCUCUGACCGCGUCUUGCCACAUUGCCCCCCCCCCUCCUCCUCCUCCUCCUUGUAUAUAUAUAUAUAUAUUAUAUUAUGUUUUGUGUGUGCUCUGUUUUUGUGAUUCGCGUUUUGCUUCUCUGUAAAGGUUCCUUGUUUACCACGCCUGCGGGAGCCCUUUUUUGAUUAUCUCUCUCUCUCUCUAUCUGUGUUGUUGUUUUUGUGGCUUCGCUUGCAUGCGUUUUGGAUCGACACGCCACGAAAAAGAAAAGCGGGCAAAUCUACAACAACCCAAAGAAAGAAAAAGAAAAAAAAAUAUUGCUUGAACAGCGUCGCGAACAACUGGUGCAUAGGAUAAAAAGAAAGCCUUACACGUGAAAAUAAGGGAUCUAUUUUUCUUCGACGUGGAAGACAGGACCGAAAAGCGAAGAGUGCGCACUCCAGCUUGACGCCGGUGCCUCUGGUUUCGUCUGCUUUUCGUUACCCCAGAUAUUUCAUCGCUAUUCUUCUCCCUUAGUCGUCUUCACAGGGUUGGAGUAUCGUAUUCAGUGCGCACAGAGCGGACGCUGCCGAAGCUGCCCUUUUCGCCUUUUUCGCACUCUCGCUCCCUUUCCCUCGCAGAAGAUUUUUCUGUUCCUCGAAAGGCGUCCCUAUGAAAGGAGCCACCUUUUGCUUUCUCUCCGUACAUUCUUUUUUUUUUUUUCGCGUUUGGAUUCGUUUUUUUUUUCUUUCAUAACCUGCACAACGCACAUAUACAUACGUAUUCGCUCACGUUUAGUAAAGGCUCAUCGCCUUCGCGCCCUCUCUCUCUUGCUUCCUGUUUAUCUUUUUUUUUUCGUGUUGUACGGACGGGCUCUUUGGUAGCGACAGGGCUUCUUCUCGAUCUCACUCACUCUCUCGCGUUUCCGGUUUCCUUUCCUCCGUUGUUGUUCCUACUUUAAAAGGAAAGGUACGCUGCAGCGCAAAGAGUUUGAGAAACGCCAGAUAAAAAAAGAAGGCAAAACAAAAAAAGUGUGUGUCCCUCCUUCUCCACCCACCAGAAGAAACACAGAGAGGCGCACGGGUCCGAACCCCACUAACGCCAACAACAACAGCAAAAAAAAAGCAUUUUGCGACUGGGAGGGCGACCUUUUACAGAAAGUUUAAACAGGACACACACACACACACGAAUUGAGUCAGCCUCCCUCACGCCAUCUCUCAUCCCAAGUUCUCAAAGCAGGAGCGAAUAUAAAAGCGAUACCGCCAGUGGCAAGAAAAAAGUCCAAGCACGGAAGAGAAAUACACUAAUCGACAAGAGUACGAAGGUGCGAGGAGGGUCUCGUUGCUUCGCCAGCACGUAGAAGCAUACACAGCUCUGCGGCGCUCCCCUAACCUCUCUCCGCCGUUUCUUUCCUUUUUCUUCCUUUCCUGCUCUGCCGUUGUGCGCAUCUCGCAGUCUGAACCCUUUUCAUUUGAGAUCGCUGCAGACGGGGGGGAGAGAACGCAGCAAACGACGGCGACAGAUACGAAUACAGGCGGCUCGGGCGAUCUCUUUCUCCGUUUCUACGCACUUUGAAACGCUAGUGUUUCAAUCUCAGCCUUCCCUCAGUUCUAUUUUUUAACUUUUUUUUUGCGUUUUCUUUUUUCUUGUGGUCUCCAGCUUGUGCCUUCUUCGUGGCUCCUCCCCGUUGUCGUCCUCCCCCAACUCUUCUCCAUUUACAUGUUUUUUUUGUUUCGCACAGCUUCACCAACCUCUCUGCACUUCUCUCUUCGUGCUGAAAACGGCAGAAAGACGAUACAAAAAAAUAGAAGCAACACUUCCAUUCCUCUUCUCACCCCGUGCCUCCUUUUUAUCUGCUGCUCCAUCACUCCAUAGUCUUCUUGUUCGUGCACUCUUUUCAUCUCUCUUCCCCACUCCAGAUAUUUGCGCAUACGCUCUGGCACAGACCCCCCCCCCCCCCUGCCCACGCCCACGUCCACGCCCCCCGUGUUACUGACACCUCUCGUGCUUUCGGUGCCUGCGUUGUCUGGCGCUAUUCCGAUUCGCAACUACAACCGAAAGUAACAACAACAAAAAGACAGGUUGCAUUCAAGGAGAGAGAGAAACUUAGAAAGGGAAAGGCAGAGUCGACACGCUCUGCAAUCCCUCCAUCGAAGGCGACGUUGACUCGGAGAGAUCGCGUCAUCGAAAGCGAAAAGGUCUCCCUGCUCGUCGCCGUGCUUGUUCGCUGUUGGAUUGUUAUCCUACUGCUCCAUAUCUUUUAAACGUCAAUCAUUUCGACUCGCACGACGCUCCCCCUUCUUGUCGCUCUUUUUAGGUUGUCCCGCCCCACUCUGCUCCCUCCGCAUCCCUCUUCUGCUCGGACUCUUUAUUUUUUUUUCUUGUCCGUUUGAUUUGCCCCCUUUUUUCUUGGUCAUUAUUUUCUUGCGUGCGUGUGCGUGUGCGAUCGUUUUUUGGAUCCCUGUCCGCGCCACUCUGUGCGUCAAACAGGUUUAUCUCGUUUUCUUUCCUUUUCUCUUUUUUCGCUCUGCGCUGAUAGCUUGUUCGUCUCUUGGUUCUCUCGCUCUCUCUGUCUUCCCUGCGUUCUCGUGGAAGUCCACAGCCUUUCUUGGCCCUUGUACAUCCUCGCGUGCUUGCAAAGCAGGAACAGCCGAGAGGGCAGAAAAGCAAACAAAAUGGGUACCGCGCCGAGUGCGGAGAUCGUGCCUGAUGCCCCUUUCCGCGUCCCACAAAGCGGCGUGCGGCAGGUGGCGCUGAUCCCCAUUGUGGAGCAGUACUUUCCUACUCCCGACUGCCCGCUGUUCAGGCAACUGUACGAAGCCUACACUGACCCAUCGGUGCGUUACUACAUGCGGCCCAACUUUGACGGCAAAAGCGGCGACCUCAGUCGCAUCCCACCCAUCGAGAACUCGCGUGAGGACAUGCACCACCUCCUGCUUCGGCACACAGCACAGGGUAUGUUUCUGACCAAUGCCGCCGUCCGCGAGGUCUACGAGGCCGGCGACCUCUACCGCAUCCGCCCCGUGCUGUGCGCUGUUGUGUUUCUCUACGAGGGCACGAACUACGUGCCAGAGGGCAGCGUGCAACUUCCGUCGCCGAGCCGCGGCGGCGCGUCUGCGUUCGCGAAAGUGAUCGGCAUCAUCGGCGAUACCUGCACGUUGGUGAGCAAGCCAGACGACCCGCUCAUUCCUUUUCGACGCGACGAUGUGCUGAAGAUCCGAACGUUGAUUAUGAAGUCGGCGGGAGACCACAACAUGUCCCGUGUAGUCCUGCUCGCGGCCUACAUCUACUACCAUCAGUGCUGCAGAACCAUCGGUCUCCCGAACGUGCCUGCACUGCCGGCCAGCUUCACGUGCUUUAAGACCAACAUUCCAUUUCUGUGCUUUCUGCGAGAGAUGCGGGAUCGCAUGGCAAACAUUCUGGAGGCGCCGAAAAGCUCCAAAUUUUACAUUGACGAGUACUGCCUCCACGGCGCGGUGAGUCGCGAGUAUGUGGCCAAGAUGAUGCCCGCCGUCGCCUGCUACUACAUCUCCUUCCUGAAAGCAAAGUCAGAGCAGCGAGUCCUGAAGCAACUGUCGCAUCAGCAGCCUAUCGUGACGGGCUGCGCUGGAAAGGAACGUGCUGGGCUGACGGGGAAAGCUCUGAUGAACCGCGCUGAGACUCACGUUGGCAGCGUCUACACCGAUGUCUUCAACGACCACGAAUCCCUGGCCGUGAAGGCGGCAGCGUUGGAGGGUGCGUUGAAGAGCGGGGGCAACACUGCUCCGAAGAUCACCUACGUGGUGAAGGGGUACGUCACUCGCGCUGUGACAAGCAUCUCGAACUGGAGUCACGCGGCCAACGAGGUGUACGUGGUCUGUGUGGACAGCACCGUGACGGUGGUGGAUCGCGCUUCGGUGGAAGCCCGCAAUGGGCCGACGCACACGCCUUCGCUGUCGCACCAGCUGGGCCUGAGCGAGGACGCCGAGGCGGCCGACGGCACGACAUCGGCGGUGGUGGAGACUCUUCACGUGCGUCGGGGCGACAUCCUCUCCUUCUACGUCCCUCCGAGCACCCGCAGCACUGGCGCCAGCCCAAGUCUCGGUGUUACCGCGGCACACGAUGUCAGCGAGGAUGAAGAUAUCUUCUAUGGUACAUCACACCUCGAAGCGCUGAAGUUCUGCUCGGACAACACCUCGCCGUUGUUGUCUUCGUCAUCUGGGGCACCGUUGCGCUGUGACUCAGCGGGUCUUGCUCUCGAUGCUGCGAAGGGAGCCUCCGAUGAAGACAGCGCGUCCGCGGAGGCCACCCCCUCCAGCGGAGCGACUGGCCUCGACGGCGAUGCCGCCCCCUUUGAGGCGAAGAAGGGCAGCUGGCGCGUCGACAACAUCUUCAUCGAGAGCGUCCUUCUCUCCCUCGUGCGUGAUGAGUGCAAGCUGGCGCGUGAGGCGACAGAACAGGACCCGGGGUGGGUCUACGACGAUGCCAGCAGGUCCUGCGUCCACGACGGCUCCUUCUACGUGUGGCACUUCCGUCGUGGCCACGAGGACUUCUACUACGGCACCGUGCCUAAGUUUGCCAACCCAAACCGGCAAUCGAACCGCAAAAACGGCGGCUGCAGUAGCGGUAACGCGGUGCAGGGCAAGGUUGACCGCGGCGGCGUCGGCGGGGCCGGGGCUGCGAGAGAUCCGAACAGUGGUGUCCGCAACAUUGGCGCGCGCGGGAAGAAUGGCGACACAUCGCCAAUGCUGCCGCCAAGCGUGCCUCCGGUACACAGGCAGAAUAUCUUUUCCCAGCCAUCCCAGUCCUCGAAGCUGCCGCAGAAAGGCGAGUUGCUGCCCCUCACCCUUUCGGCGGCGAGUCCAGACGUUCAACAGGCGUACCUCGCGUCUAUCGCCUCUGGGGUCUCGUUGCCACAGCCUCCCGCGUACGAUGCAAGUACGCAAUCUGCAGUGCAAGCUGCCCCAAUGCCGUUUGCAGGCAGCAUUGGCCAUGGCCACCUCAAUUCAAUGUAUGCCACAUACCCCGCGGAGGCGGCGGCGAUGGCGGCGGCGAUGGCGGCGGGAGGCGCCCCCGUGAUGUACACCUUCAUGCCUGUCAGUCAGGGUCAGAGUGAGAUGUCGCCGGCGCCGCAACAGCAGCUGCACACCAUGCCUCCCCAGGGAAUGUACGGUCAUGGGGCGCCCCCUCUGCCCCCGUCUCCUCCGCAGCAGCAAGCCGUGUGGGGCGUGGCGGGUGCUGGCAACAUUCAAGGCACCGCAGCAACAUCCCAGUCGGUCGGGACAUGUGUCGUGAAUGCACUGGGCCAACUCGUUGCUGUAGGGGGCUUAAUGGGCAGCGGGGUCGCACCAGCGCCGCAGGUGUCCUACACCCCGUCUGUUGCUGCCGCCGCACCGCAGUCGUACCCAAGCUAUGUGAUGGUAAAUGGGCAGCUCUGCAUCUUGCAAUCGACCGCGGCUAGCGCCACCGGCGCUGCACCAUCCCCGAUGCUAUCCUAUCAACAGCACCCGCACAUGAUGACCUUCACUCAGUGACGGAGCGUUGAAGCGCCAGCUCCUCUUUUUUUUCCUUUCCCUCGUUCGCUUCUGCGCACCAUACACGAUCGAAGCGGUGGAAAGGUGGCGGUGGGAAAGGAGGUUAUUGAGUGGAGGGGGGGUCGCGAGACAGCCGCAUAGCCCAGCGCUUGAGUACACGCGUGUACCCACGGUAGCGCGGGUGCCUCACGCUUCCUUUCUUGUUUUUUUUUUUCGCGCUGCUUUCCGCAGUUCUUGUUCGUGUGCACUCACGUAGGUUUCUUUCGUUUUCCUCGUUGCUGCCGCCUCCUACACAGAGCUGGUCGCUUAUCGAGCUCCUGGUUUAUCGAUAUGGACGCUUCGGGAAAGGUCUGCGCAGCCUUUUAUUCAUUUCUUUGUAACCCGUGUAUUAUUGCUUGCCUUGCUCGUGCAUAUGCGUCGGUACCCUCUACACAAGCCCCUUCUCGUACACAGUGACACCGACACACCCACGAAAAUGCCCCAGCAAAGCGGGCAGCGCCGCGGUCGUCAGUCUUUGGCGCUUGAUCGCUGCUCUGAAAUACGGAGUAGAGCGCCUGAGUUGAGGAGCAGCAAAGGCAGAGCGACUAAAUAAGGAAGAAGAGCGAAUCAUUGUACGCCAGAAAUGCAUGGACCAGUAGCCGACAUGCGCGUUAAUGGCAUUCUCUCUUCGUACCUCUUAUGUCUCUUGCUUGACCUUGCUUUCUUUUCGUCUCGGAAGGAUGUGGAUGUGUGACUCUCUCCUCCCUUCCACUCAAUGCCUUUCUUGCUUGUCCGCUUCAUGCACCGCUCAGCGCUUGCUUUUUUCUUUUCUUUCUUUUUAAUCGUCUCGUUUUCCUUGCUGUUGUCUUCUACGACGGCAACUGUCAUCACUACCCUCGUGAAUCGAGCAGGCCUUAGUGUCCAGGACAAGAGCUUCAUUAGUCGCCCGCCCCUCCCUCCCCCCUCAACACGAAGUCUUGUUCCCGUACCACUAAAUCCCCUCCUCUCUCCCUCUUUAUUUCUAUCCCAUGUUUUCACUUGCUUGAUGCAGCUUUUCGUAUGUACUUUUUUUUCGUUGUUUUCGACUUGCCAAUGCUUGCUGCUGUAAGCGAUGUAUCUCUCUUUUCUUUAGUGCGUGCGCCGUGUUCUCCCUCCGUCCCUCCCUCAUGCACCAGUGUGCGGUGGUGCGGGGGGAGGUGGGAGGAGGGAGGGAGAGGGGGGGGGUACGUUUUUUCUCUUGUUUCUCUGCUGCUCUUCUCGUUUUGCGCGCUCCGUUUUCCGUUUUGCUAACUCUUCUCUCCUCUUUCCUCCCUGUUCCCUGUUGACACACACUCUCGCUUCCCGUUGUAUUUGCUCUUUCUUUCGUGUUCUCGUUUUGUAAAGAAUCAUCAGGCUCUCAGGAGAGGCCACCCUCCCCCACCCCACCACACACCUCACCCCUUGUCCUCUCUAUCCCCUCCCUCUCUCUGUUCUUCCUUUCACUUUUAUGCAGUUUUUCACACCUUUUUUUUCGAAUCUCUUCGCUCUUCCUUUUCUUCGCCCUGCUUCGAAAUCCUGAAGCCGGAGGGGGACGCACCCCUCUCAGUGCGUGGCAUCUCAGGGUCCAGUGCACCCCCACUCUGUGUGUUUGUGUGGGGAAGCCGAGCCGCCCCCCUAUCCCCUGCCGAUGCUGCACCGCUUCUGGCCGUAGCAGGGUCAGGCACCUACCUACGUAGGGAGCUCGUAGCAAUGUAUCGCUGCUGAUGCCGGCGGUGAGGCCGCGGAUGGCGUUGCGUGUGAGAGAUCCCCGACAGUGGGCACGCGUGUACCACCCGUGUGAUGGGGAGGGUGUCGGCGUGACUCGAAUGUAUCCCGCCCGGCCCUCGCACUGCCUCCCGGUGCGGGGAGCCUGAGUCACCGGGAGGGGGAUGAACCAGGUGGCGACCGACACGAUGUGCGCGGCUGUGAGGUGCCCUGUGAAGCAGGGGCGGGCAGAGUGUGAGGCAGGGGCCCUGCUCUCAGAUGACUGUGUCGACGGCUGCUUCGCACGAGGCGAUGGGGCCCUGUGGCAGGCCGAGUGGAGUAGUGUAUGGCUGAUGCGCUGCGGCAGAGAAGUGGGCACGCUGAUCAAAUAUGUCUCCUUCUUUCGCCUCUUGUCGUAGGCGCAGUUGUCUUUUUGUUUUACGUGUGCUCGACUUCCUUGAUCGAAGCGUCUUGUCUCGCUUUCUUGUUCGCUCUUUUCUGUUGGUCGACGGUGUUUCCUUGAGAUAUAAUUCAGGGGUGCAAGUGUCUUCGUGCAUGUCUGUGUUUGCCCCAUGCACAUCCGUCUUUGCAUCCUCAUGAGACACGGAUGUGCCUCCGUUGUUCCUCCCUCUCUCUUCCCCUCUUUUAUGUCCCUCUUUUCAUCUUCGUUUACGCAUUCGUCUGCCUUUCAUUCGAUUCUUCUCUUGCCAACAGGGCUGAGCUUUUUGGUGCAUCUUUUUUUUUUGGGUAGCGGUGUUGGUGGUCGAGUGCUAGCUGUGUUGGGCUUCUUUUUUUCUUUUCGUCGUUGUUUGUGCGCGAACAUUCGUCCAACCUCCUCCCCAGGGCCGCGUCUUCUGCCAUAGCCGUGAACAUCGAUGACUUGCUCACAGCUAUGGCAGAACUGCGAGCACGAGCGUAAGAGGAGAGCCGAGUGCGUCGGUAAAUAGCGCUUACCCUCUUUUUACUGUCCUGCUCGCUGCUGUUGAAGCAGAACCUGUGCGUACGGCGCUCUCUGCCUAUGCGCGCUUGCGCAUGCCUGUGCUCACAGCCAGCGCGACGCGGAAGUCGCAGCGUUAUGGGCUUGCAUGGUUGGUGCGAGGCGGGUGGUGGAGGCGAUCGGCCCAACGGGGGGGGGGCGGAGAUGUUUCUCCUCCUGCCGGCGUCUUUGCAUGUGCCAUUACUUCCCACUUUGCAUGUCUCAUUUCGCUUGUGCCUGUUCUCGUUCCACGGCCGAUGAUGUGCGCAUACGGACCUUCUUUUGGCCUCCACUGUAUCUUUUGUUCGUGUUUGCUUGUUCUUUGGCGCCAUUCAUCUGCUCUUUCCGUUUUUGUUUUUGGUUGUUGUUCCCCUCCUCCUCUGUCCCCGUCUUCAUGUAUAUAUUUUUUUUAUCUGUGCUUCCGUGCGCGUGUUUCCGGUCUGGGGACGACACACACACAAAAAAACCAACACACAACAAAGGGGCGACAUACUCCACCGCAUGAACAGCACACUUUCCCUGUUCGCCCCCCCCCCCUCUCCGCCUCUCGCCUCUAUUUCUUUCUCCUUUUCGUUGUUUUCGCACUUUCCCUUCCUCCCACUCUCUUUGGCAUGCACGUAGACGUCUUCGACUUCCGUUUUUUUUUUUUUCGUGUUUCCUGAGCCGCUUCGUUGCUCUGCCUUUUGCUCUCUGUGGCUCUCAUCAUUGCGCCGCCGCCACAACCGACGUUUUCUUUGCCGUUCCGCCGUCUCACUGCUCCAGUGUUCAGCAGCGCACCCCCUUUUUCCCCUUUUUUCCUUUUAUGCGCUCCGAGCGUAGCAACCCAUUGUGUUCCUCACCUCGCCUUCCCCACUCGAUAUGUGUGGAUUUGCGGCUCCUGUCUUAGUCUGCCCCCCGGCAUCGGCUGAACGGGGCCACGCCAACUUUCAAGAAUGCCUUUGUGCACCGCUCCUCAGCCUUUGCACACCGUACUAUCCUUCCCCGCGCAACGGGGGUGCACAGGCUGAGGACAUGCAACAUCACAGCGAAUUCGAACUCGUUCGUUUCGCCCCCUCCUCCUCCCCCUUUAUUUUACAACCAGGGAAG